GAGUUUGAUCCUGGCUCAGAACGAACGCUGGCGGCAUGCCUAAUACAUGCAAGUCGAACGAGAUCUUCGGAUCUAGUGGCGCACGGGUGCGUAACGCGUGGGAAUCUGCCCUUGGGUUCGGAAUAACUUCUGGAAACGGAAGCUAAUACCGGAUGAUGACGUAAGUCCAAAGAUUUAUCGCCCAAGGAUGAGCCCGCGUAGGAUUAGCUAGUUGGUGGGGUAAAGGCCCACCAAGGCGACGAUCCUUAGCUGGUCUGAGAGGAUGAUCAGCCACACUGGGACUGAGACACGGCCCAGACUCCUACGGGAGGCAGCAGUAGGGAAUAUUGGACAAUGGGCGCAAGCCUGAUCCAGCAAUGCCGCGUGAGUGAUGAAGGCCUUAGGGUUGUAAAGCUCUUUUACCCGGGAUGAUAAUGACAGUACCGGGAGAAUAAGCUCCGGCUAACUCCGUG
Molecule: ribosomal RNA, 452 nt
Filed under: uncultured Sphingobium sp.
Lineage: Bacteria; Pseudomonadati; Pseudomonadota; Alphaproteobacteria; Sphingomonadales; Sphingobiaceae
Description: bacterial SSU rRNA
Rfam family: Bacterial small subunit ribosomal RNA
Source: RNAcentral